UACGUAGGGAGCAAGCGUUGUCCGGAAUCAUUGGGCGUAAAGCGCGCGUAGGUGGCCUCAUAAGUCCGCUGUGAAAGUCAAAGGCUCAACCUUUGAAAGCCGGUGGAUACUGUGAGGCUAGAGUACGGAAGAGGCGAGUGGAAUUCCUGGUGUAGCGGUGAAAUGCGCAGAUAUCAGGAGGAACACCGGUGGCGAAGGCGGGACUCUGGGCCGAUACUGACGCUGAGGAGCGAAAGCGUGGGGAGCGAACAGG
Molecule: ribosomal RNA, 253 nt
Filed under: uncultured bacterium
Lineage: Bacteria
Description: partial 16S ribosomal RNA
Rfam family: Bacterial small subunit ribosomal RNA
Source: RNAcentral